GAUGAACGCUGGCGGCGUGCCUAAUACAUGCAAGUCGAGCGAACGGACGAGAAGCUUGCUUUUCUGAUGUUAGCGGCGGACGGGUGAGUAACACGUGGAUAACCUACCUAUAAGACUGGGAUAACUUCGGGAAACCGGAGCUAAUAUCGGAUAAUAUUUUGAACCGCAUGGUUCAAAAGUGAAAGACGGUCUUGCUGUCACUUAUAGAUGGAUCCGCGCUGCAUUAGCUAGUUGGUAAGGUAACGGCUUACCAAGGCAACGAUGCAUAGCCGACCUGAGAGGGUGAUCGGCCACACUGGAACUGAGACACGGUCCAGACUCCUACGGGAGGCAGCAGUAGGGAAUCUUCCGCAAUGGGCGAAAGCCUGACGGAGCAACGCCGCGUGAGUGAUGAAGGUCUUCGGAUCGUAAAACUCUGUUAUUAGGGAAGAACAUAAGUGUAAGUAACUGUGCACAUCUUGACGGUACCUAAUCAGAAAGCCACGGCUAACUACGUG
Molecule: ribosomal RNA, 497 nt
Filed under: uncultured bacterium
Lineage: Bacteria
Description: partial 16S ribosomal RNA
Rfam family: Bacterial small subunit ribosomal RNA
Source: RNAcentral